RNAcentral lists this ribosomal RNA (439 nucleotides) under uncultured bacterium. RNAcentral's name for it is "partial 16S ribosomal RNA". It matches the Rfam family "Bacterial small subunit ribosomal RNA", at positions 339 to 795 of the family's 1533-position model. The record is from RNAcentral.
CUACGGGGUGCAGCAGUGAGGAAUAUUGCACAAUGGGGGGAACCCUGAUGCAGCAACGCCGCGUGGAGGAUGACGCAUUUCGGUGUGUAAACUCCUUUUAUAUGUCAAGAAAAUGACGGUAGCAUAUGAAUAAGCACCGGCUAACUCCGUGCCAGCAGCCGCGGUAAUACGGAGGGUGCAAGCGUUACUCGGAAUCACUGGGCGUAAAGGACGCGUAGGCGGGUUGGAAAGUCAGGUGUGAAAUCCUACAGCUUAACUGUAGAACUGCACUUGAAACUUCUAAUCUAGAGUAUGGGAGGGGGAGAUGGAAUUAGUGGUGUAGGGGUAAAAUCCGUAGAUAUCACUAGGAAUACCUGAAGCGAAGGCGAUCUCCUGGAACAUUACUGACGCUAAGGCGUGAAAGCGUGGGGAGCAAACAGGAUUAGAUACCCUCGUAGUC